UACGGAGGGUGCAAACGUUGCUCGGAAUCAUUGGGCGUAAAGCGCACGUAGGCGGUCUGAUAAGUCAGGUGUGAAAGCCCUGGGCUCAACCCAGGAAGGGCACUUGAAACUGCCAGGCUUGAGUACGGAAGGGGGUCUCGGAAUUCCCGGUGUAGAGGUGAAAUUCGUAGAUAUCGGGAGGAACACCAGCGGCGAAGGCGGAGGCCUGGGCCGAUACUGACGCUGAGGUGCGAAAGCGUGGGGAGCAAACAGG
RNAcentral lists this ribosomal RNA (253 nucleotides) under uncultured bacterium. RNAcentral describes it as "partial 16S ribosomal RNA". It matches the Rfam family "Bacterial small subunit ribosomal RNA", at positions 524 to 776 of the family's 1533-position model. The record is from RNAcentral.